AAUUGGUCGCAGGUUCGAAUCCUGCACGACCCACCAAUUUCAGCAUUUAACUCAGAUGCUGAACGUGAAGGAUAACGUUGCGACAGCAACGGCCCGAAGUGCGAGGCGAAGUCGAGUCAUCUUUCACGCCCCACCA
This 136-nucleotide small RNA is filed under the name Klebsiella pneumoniae. RNAcentral's name for it is "partial RtT sRNA". It matches the Rfam family "RtT RNA", at positions 29 to 130 of the family's 130-position model. Rfam says of the family: This family represents a bacterial cis-regulatory element known as RtT RNA. The exact function of RtT is unknown although it is thought that it may be involved in changing the cellular response in relation to amino acid starvation. Lineage: Bacteria; Pseudomonadati; Pseudomonadota; Gammaproteobacteria; Enterobacterales; Enterobacteriaceae. The record is from RNAcentral.